CGGUUGGUCGCGUAGAAUGG
RNAcentral lists this small RNA (20 nucleotides) under Sinorhizobium meliloti 2011. RNAcentral describes it as "putative ncRNA". The record is from RNAcentral. Lineage: Bacteria; Pseudomonadati; Pseudomonadota; Alphaproteobacteria; Hyphomicrobiales; Rhizobiaceae.